GAUUCCGUAGGUGAACCUGCGGAAGGAUCAUUA
This 33-nucleotide ribosomal RNA is filed under the name Neofusicoccum parvum. RNAcentral's name for it is "partial 18S ribosomal RNA". The record is from RNAcentral. Lineage: Eukaryota; Fungi; Ascomycota; Dothideomycetes; Botryosphaeriales; Botryosphaeriaceae.